RNAcentral lists this ribosomal RNA (466 nucleotides) under uncultured bacterium. Its description in RNAcentral is "partial 16S ribosomal RNA". It matches the Rfam family "Bacterial small subunit ribosomal RNA", at positions 28 to 507 of the family's 1533-position model. The record is from RNAcentral.
GACGAACGCUGGCGGCGUGCUUAACACAUGCAAGUCGAACGAUGAAGCGGUGCUUGCUCCGUGGAUUAGUGGCGAACGGUUGAGUAAUACGUUAGUGACCUACCUUUGACUCUGGGAUAAGCCCUGGUAACUGGGUCUAAUACCGGAUACGACCAUUCUCUGCAUGGGGUGUUGGUGCAAAGCGUUAUUGAGUGGUUUUGGAUGGGCUCACGGCCUAUUAGCUUGUUGGUAGGGUCAUGGCUUACCAAGGCGCCGACCGGUAGCUGGCCGGAGAGGAUGAUCAGCCGGACUGGGACUGCGACACGGCCCAGACUGCUACGGGAGGGAGCAGUGGGGAAUAUUGGGCGAGGGGCGAAAGCCUGGUCCAGCAAUGCCGGGGGAGUGAUGUAGGGGUUAGGGUUGUAAAGCUCGUUUAGACGGGAUGAUAGUGACAGUACCGGGAGAAAAAGCGCCGGCUAACUCCGUG